RNAcentral lists this ribosomal RNA (626 nucleotides) under uncultured bacterium. RNAcentral's name for it is "bacterial SSU rRNA". The stretch from base 1 to 545 matches the Rfam family "Bacterial small subunit ribosomal RNA", at positions 338 to 873 of the family's 1533-position model. The record is from RNAcentral.
CCUACGGGAGGCAGCAGUAGGGAAUCUUCCACAAUGGACGAAAGUCUGAUGGAGCAACGCCGCGUGAGUGAUGAAGGUUUUCGGAUCGUAAAACUCUGUUGUAAGGGAAGAACAAGUACGAGAGGGAAUGCUCGUACCUUGACGGUACCUUGCGAGAAAGCCACGGCUAACUACGUGCCAGCAGCCGCGGUAAUACGUAGGUGGCAAGCGUUGUCCGGAAUUAUUGGGCGUAAAGCGCGCGCAGGCGGCCUUUUAAAGUCUGAUGUGAAAGCCCCCGGCUCAACCGGGGAGGGUCAUUGGAAACUGGAAGGCUUGAGUACAGAAGAGAAGAGUGGAAUUCCAUGUGUAGCGGUGAAAUGCGUAGAGAUGUGGAGGAACACCAGUGGCGAAGGCGACUCUUUGGUCUGUAACUGACGCUGAGGCGCGAAAGCGUGGGGAGCAAACAGGAUUAGAUACCCUGGUAGUCCACGCCGUAAACGAUGAGUGCUAGGUGUUGGGGGGUUUCCGCCCCUCAGUGCUGAAGCUAACGCAUUAAGCACUCCGCCUGGGGGAGGACGGCCGCGAGACGNGACGUACGAAAGAAGUAGUACGGCGUGAGAGAGCGACGACGACGACGAGGGAGGAGG